This 429-nucleotide ribosomal RNA is filed under the name Pseudomonadota bacterium. Its description in RNAcentral is "Proteobacteria bacterium partial 16S ribosomal RNA". It matches the Rfam family "Bacterial small subunit ribosomal RNA", at positions 355 to 776 of the family's 1533-position model. The record is from RNAcentral. Lineage: Bacteria; Pseudomonadati; Pseudomonadota.
UGGGGAAUAUUGGACAAUGGGCGAAAGCCUGAUCCAGCCAUGCCGCGUGUGUGAAGAAGGUCUUCGGAUUGUAAAGCACUUUAAGCUGGGAGGAAGGGCAGUAAGCGAAUACCUUGCUGUUUUGACGUUACCGACAGAAUAAGCACCGGCUAACUCUGUGCCAGCAGCCGCGGUAAUACAGAGGGUGCAAGCGUUAAUCGGAAUUACUGGGCGUAAAGCGGGCGUAGGUGGUUCGUUAAGUUGAAUGUGAAAGCCCCGGGCUCAACCUGGGAACUGAAUCCGAGACUGGCGGGCUAGAGUAGGGCAGAGGGGGGUGGAAUUUCCUGUGUAGCAGUGAAAUGCGUAGAUAUAGGGAGGAACACCAGUGGCGAAGGCAGCCACCUGGGCUCAUACUGACGCUGAGGUGCGAAAGCGUGGGGAGCAAACAGG